CUACGGGUGGCUGCAGUGGGGAAUUUUGCGCAAUGGGGGAAACCCUGACGCAGCGAUACCGCGUGAGUGAAGAAGGCCUUUGGGUCGUAAAGCUCUUUUCUAAGGGAAGAUAGUGACGGUACCUUAGGAAUAAGCGCCGGCUAACUCCGUGCCAGCAGCCGCGGUAAUACGGAGGGCGCGAGCGUUGUUCGGAUUUACUGGGCGUAAAGGGCGCGUAGGCGGCCUGGCAAGUUAAGGGUGAAAUCCCGGGGCUCAACCCCGGAACUGCUCUUAAAACUGCCAAGCUAGAGAUGGUCAGAGGCGGGUGGAAUUCCAGGUGUAGAGGUGAAAUUCGUAGAUAUCUGGAGGAACACCGGUGGCGAAGGCGGCCCGCUGGGGCCAUUCUGACGCUGAGGCGCGAAAGCGUGGGGAGCGAACGGGAUUAGAUACCCUUGUAGUC
Molecule: ribosomal RNA, 439 nt
Filed under: uncultured bacterium
Lineage: Bacteria
Description: partial 16S ribosomal RNA
Rfam family: Bacterial small subunit ribosomal RNA
Source: RNAcentral